Molecule: ribosomal RNA, 712 nt
Filed under: uncultured Serratia sp.
Lineage: Bacteria; Pseudomonadati; Pseudomonadota; Gammaproteobacteria; Enterobacterales; Yersiniaceae
Description: bacterial SSU rRNA
Rfam family: Bacterial small subunit ribosomal RNA
Source: RNAcentral
GCAAACGGGAUUAGAUACCCUGGUAGUCCACGCUGUAAACGAUGUCGAUUUGGAGGUUGUGCCCUUGAGGCGUGGCUUCCGGAGCUAACGCGUUAAAUCGACCGCCUGGGGAGUACGGCCGCAAGGUUAAAACUCAAAUGAAUUGACGGGGGCCCGCACAAGCGGUGGAGCAUGUGGUUUAAUUCGAUGCAACGCGAAGAACCUUACCUACUCUUGACAUCCAGAGAACUUAGCAGAGAUGCUUUGGUGCCUUCGGGAACUCUGAGACAGGUGCUGCAUGGCUGUCGUCAGCUCGUGUUGUGAAAUGUUGGGUUAAGUCCCGCAACGAGCGCAACCCUUAUCCUUUGUUGCCAGCGGUUCGGCCGGGAACUCAAAGGAGACUGCCAGUGAUAAACUGGAGGAAGGUGGGGAUGACGUCAAGUCAUCAUGGCCCUUACGAGUAGGGCUACACACGUGCUACAAUGGCAUAUACAAAGAGAAGCGACCUCGCGAGAGCAAGCGGACCUCAUAAAGUAUGUCGUAGUCCGGAUUGGAGUCUGCAACUCGACUCCAUGAAGUCGGAAUCGCUAGUAAUCGUAGAUCAGAAUGCUACGGUGAAUACGUUCCCGGGCCUUGUACACACCGCCCGUCACACCAUGGGAGUGGGUUGCAAAAGAAGUAGGUAGCUUAACCUUCGGGAGGGCGCUUACCACUUUGUGAUUCAUGACUGGGG